GUGCUUACUUUGGCAGCACAUAUAGUAAAAUUAUAAUGGUACAAAAAGAUUAAUAUGGCACCUGUGCAAGGAUGACAUGCAAAUUUGUGAAGCAUUACUCAUUUUU
This 106-nucleotide small nuclear RNA is filed under the name Dasypus novemcinctus (nine-banded armadillo). Lineage: Eukaryota; Metazoa; Chordata; Mammalia; Cingulata; Dasypodidae. The record is from RNAcentral.